This 216-nucleotide ribosomal RNA is filed under the name Glomeromycotina sp. Its description in RNAcentral is "partial small subunit ribosomal RNA". The stretch from base 47 to 216 matches the Rfam family "Eukaryotic small subunit ribosomal RNA", at positions 693 to 864 of the family's 1831-position model. The record is from RNAcentral. Lineage: Eukaryota; Fungi; Glomeromycota.
GGGUCAGUAGGUUGGUCGUGCCACCGGUACGUACUGGUCUCACUGGUUCCUCCUUCCUGAAGAACCGUAAUGCCAUUAAUUUGGUGUUGCGGGGAGACAGGACUGUUACUUUGAAAAAAUUAGAGUGUUUAAAGCAAGCUAACGCUUGAAUACAUUAGCAUGGAAUAAUGAAAUAGGACGAUCGAUCCUAUUUUGUUGGUUUCUAGGAUUGACGUA